UACGUAGGGAGCAAGCGUUGUCCGGAAUCAUUGGGCGUAAAGCGCGCGUAGGUGGCCUCAUAAGUCCGCUGUGAAAGUCAAAGGCUCAACCUUUGAAAGCCGGUGGAUACUGUGAGGCUAGAGUACGGAAGAGGCGAGUGGAAUUCCUGGUGUAGCGGUGGAAUGCGCAGAUAUCAGGAGGAACACCAAUAGCGAAGGCAGCUCGCUGGGACGGUACUGACACUGAGGCGCGAAAGCGUGGGGAGCGAACAGG
RNAcentral lists this ribosomal RNA (253 nucleotides) under uncultured bacterium. Its description in RNAcentral is "partial 16S ribosomal RNA". It matches the Rfam family "Bacterial small subunit ribosomal RNA", at positions 524 to 776 of the family's 1533-position model. The record is from RNAcentral.